UUUUGACGAGAGACGGAACCCUAGUUCACAGACGUGAACUAAUGCCCAGAGGAGUGUUCAGAGGGACGAUGACCUGCUACGUGUGGCGUGUUGGCUCGGCAUCUUUUGACGAGAGACGGAACCCUAGUUCACAGACGUGAACUAAUGCCCAGAGGAGUGUUCAGAGGGAGGAUGACCUGCUACGUGUGGCGUGUUGGCUCGGUGCUUCCUUUGGUGAUCCCGUAGACGGUCUUCCUCGCGAGAGAAACCUCCGUAGAGCAAGCAGAUGCUCCCGUCUCCGCAGCUGACGUUUCAUGUGCGCUAUGAGGGCAUUCCUGUGUGCAAAUCUCGCGGAACAUGCUUCGCAAACGCAAGAGUUCUCUUCUGUGUCAGUGCUCUGGCGGACCUCAGGGUGGGCCGUCUCCACGCCGGAGCGAUCGUCGAACGGACACUCCGACGUCAUUUCCUUGGCCUCGUGUCGCUUCCUGGACUUGUCCUCCAAGUCCGGGGAGACCCUCGGGAAGAGUUCGGGAAAACGUUCGGACGAAG
Ornithodoros turicata is the source of this 528-nucleotide long non-coding RNA. RefSeq lists it as uncharacterized. The record is from RefSeq and is a predicted model, not a curated record. Lineage: Eukaryota; Metazoa; Arthropoda; Arachnida; Ixodida; Argasidae. The transcript is spliced from 3 exons.